AUUGAACGCUGGCGGCAGGCUUAACACAUGCAAGUCGAGCGGAGUGAUGGUGCUUGCACUAUCACUUAGCGGCGGACGGGUGAGUAAUGCUUAGGAAUCUGCCUAUUAGUGGGGGACAACAUCUCGAAAGGGAUGCUAAUACCGCAUACGUCCUACGGGAGAAAGCAGGGGAUCACUUGUGACCUUGCGCUAAUAGAUGAGCCUAAGUCGGAUUAGCUAGUUGGUGGGGUAAAGGCCUACCAAGGCGACGAUCUGUAGCGGGGCUGAGAGGAUGCUCCGCCACCCUGGGACUGAGACACGGCCCAGACUCCUCCGGGACGCAGCAGUGGGGAAUAUUGGACAAUGGGGGGAACCCUCAGCCAGCCAUGCCGCGUGUGUGAAGAAGGCCUUAUGGUUGUAAAGCACUUUAAGCGAGGAGGAGGCUCUUUUGGUUAAUACCCAAGAUGAGUGGACGUUACUCGCAGAAUAAGCACCGGCUAACUACGUGCCAGCCGCCGCGGUAA
RNAcentral lists this ribosomal RNA (503 nucleotides) under uncultured bacterium. RNAcentral's name for it is "partial 16S ribosomal RNA". It matches the Rfam family "Bacterial small subunit ribosomal RNA", at positions 30 to 523 of the family's 1533-position model. The record is from RNAcentral.